RNAcentral lists this ribosomal RNA (399 nucleotides) under uncultured bacterium. RNAcentral describes it as "bacterial SSU rRNA". It matches the Rfam family "Bacterial small subunit ribosomal RNA", at positions 357 to 774 of the family's 1533-position model. The record is from RNAcentral.
GGGAAUAUUUCACAAUGGUCGAAAGCCUUAUGCAGCAACGCCGCGUGAGUGAUGAAGGCCCUCGGGUCGUAAAACUCUGUCCUCAAGGAAGAUAAUGACGGUACUUGAGGAGGAAGCCCCGGCUAACUACGUGCCAGCAGCCGCGGUAAUACGUAGGGGGCUAGCGUUAUCCGGAUUUACUGGGCGUAAAGGGUGCGUAGGCGGUCUUUCAAGUCAGGAGUGAAAGGCUACGGCUCAACCGUAGUAAGCUCUUGAAACUGGGAGACUUGAGUGCAGGAGAGGAGAGUGGAAUUCCUAGUGUAGCGGUGAAAUGCGUAGAUAUUAGGAGGAACACCAGUUGCGAAGGCGGCUCUCUGGACUGUAACUGACGCUGAGGCACGAAAGCGUGGGGAGCAAACA